RNAcentral lists this transfer RNA (88 nucleotides) under Ardenticatenaceae bacterium. RNAcentral describes it as "tRNA-Ser". It matches the Rfam family "tRNA". From Rfam's summary of the family: Transfer RNA (tRNA) molecules are approximately 80 nucleotides in length. Lineage: Bacteria; Bacillati; Chloroflexota; Ardenticatenia; Ardenticatenales; Ardenticatenaceae. The record is from RNAcentral.
GGGGAGGUGCCAGAGCGGUUGAAUGGGCCGCCCUGCUAAGGCGGUAGGGUCCCUUGGGCCCUCGAGGGUUCGAAUCCCUCCCUCUCCG